GUGGCUCAGAGGGUAAGAGCACUGACUACUAUUCUUCCAGAGGACCUGGGUUCAAUUCCCAGC
This 63-nucleotide transfer RNA is filed under the name Rattus norvegicus (Norway rat). It matches the Rfam family "tRNA", at positions 7 to 64 of the family's 71-position model. From Rfam's summary of the family: Transfer RNA (tRNA) molecules are approximately 80 nucleotides in length. Their secondary structure includes four short double-helical elements and three loops (D, anti-codon, and T loops). Lineage: Eukaryota; Metazoa; Chordata; Mammalia; Rodentia; Muridae. The record is from Rfam by way of RNAcentral.